This is a long non-coding RNA of Zeugodacus cucurbitae (melon fly), 391 nucleotides long. RefSeq lists it as uncharacterized. The record is from RefSeq and is a predicted model, not a curated record. The transcript has 2 exons. Lineage: Eukaryota; Metazoa; Arthropoda; Insecta; Diptera; Tephritidae.
CUUGAGUACGCAUAGCUUUUCCCCACAUGUGUGGGAAACAAAAUAAUAUAAACAGAAACAGCUGAUUUCUGUCUAAUUAUAUUGAAUUGAAUCGAAAAAUUUAUUUGAAUUAUUCCAUAAAAAUAAAUCAUUUGCUCUUGGUCUAGACGUGAAGUUUCUGAGAGUGCGCAAAUAUUCCAUGCUCCGAAUCUGGCCCUAUUUUUCAUGCAUAAAGUCGUUAUUUGUAUGAGUGUUUGUUUUAACCGAGCCUUCUUCAUUGUGGCUUCAUUAAUAAGUUUGGUUUACGAUUGACCGGUUAUCAGCCUAUCUAUCCGGUUCUGAUGUCGAGAUAUCGACUGGAGCGUCCAGGACCUGAUGAAAAGUAUUUGGUUUGGUUUAACAACCCCAUUUA